Molecule: small RNA, 2410 nt
Filed under: Rattus norvegicus (Norway rat)
Lineage: Eukaryota; Metazoa; Chordata; Mammalia; Rodentia; Muridae
Description: uncharacterized LOC103692627
Source: RNAcentral
AUAUCAAAUGAAAGCUAUUGCUUCCAAGAAGGAAGUACAAUCAUGAAGAAUAAGAAGCCUUAAAUCAAAAAAUUUAAAAGAUGAUCCAGAAUAAAGGUAAAUUGUAACAGGCCCUCUCUGCCUAACGCCCUGGGGAUACAGUAAGGUAAUGAAUGACAAAAAGAUGCCUAGCAAGUUCCCAUUCUGAUAUGAGGUACUCAUUCAAGUAAUUUGUAUUUUUUGAUAGAUGACAAUAUAUCAAACAACACAGACAUGGCCAAUUGUUGGAAGUGAAGAGCCACCCUUGGAUAAUACCUGUCUGUGAGAUUGAAGUGAGUGUCUCGGAUCCCUGUGAUGCUCCAAGGAGGCAUUGUCGGUUUCUUGCAAUAUCAUGCCCAAGUGAUGGAUAUUGGUUUUUCCCCAUUGACUUGAGAAGUGAAAGACCAUAUUUCUUCCAAGUUUCUAAAAGCCAGUCCAUAUGUGGGAAAAACAUCGUUUUCUAACUGCACUUUGCAAACCGACAAAAUGAAGUCUGAUUCACCAAUCUUCCUACAUCAUCACCUUCCAAUGUAGAUUUAGUCAAGAAGAAGAAGUUUAUUUAUAAAAUAAAUCAGAACAAUGAAAAGUCACUUUUCCAGCUUCUUAUUUAUCCUAGAAUUAUAUUUUUUUAUCUUAGGCUUCUGGGAAAAAAAACUUCUAUCAUUGUUAAAGUGAUAUUUUAUUUUGCUUUUUUCUGUCAUUCACUUGUGUUAGCCAGUAUUCUAUUGUUGUGAAGAGAGACAGCAUGAAAACAACAAUUCUUAGUAAAGAAAACAUUUAAUUGGGGCUUACUUAGAGAUUCUGAGAUUUAUUCCAUUAUAUGUAUGUUAGCAGGCAGGUAGACAUUAUGGUGAACAAAGUGCUGAGAAUUCUACAUCCAUAUCUGCAGGCAGCAGAAGAUAGAGAGAACCACUCUACCUGACUUGUUCUUCUGAAAUGUUAAAGCCUACUGCCAGUGACACACUUCCUCCAGCAAGGCCACACCUACUUCAAGAAGGCUACACCAAAAUCCUCCCAAGUAGUUCCCCAUCCUAAUAACCACACAUUUAAACAUAUGAUCCCAUUGUGGGUUGGACUUGUAUUCAAACCGCAACUAGAUUUAGGCAACCUAAAAAUCCCAUACACAAUUCUAUUUAUGAUUUUGAAAGAAAUUUUCCUGAGUUUUUCAUAUAUACAUAUGUUGAUAAAUACAUAUACAUCCCCAAAACCAUUGGCUGUCUUUAGACAAUACUCGAACUCCAAAUACUUAAGCACUUGAUGAAAAGAAAAAGACUCAGUAGCCUAUAAAGAUAUGUAGUAGCAUUUUCACCUUUUAAUUUAAAUGUACAAGCAACACUAUGCACAAAAGUCAAAAUUAAAUUAAGAAUAAGACAUGGGUAUUUCAGUGAUAUCAGAACCUGUAUUAAUUGAUGUGAUAUCCUUUGGUGAUUCACCUCAAAUGUGGUCCUCAACCUUAACUACAGAUUAGAAUUGCCAGAGGAACUUCCUUUUAAAUACUGAUUCUUGAGCCCAACUCACAAGAGAUUCAUAUUUUAAUUGGUUUUAGGUAAAACAUGGAUGUCAAUAUUUCUCAGCAUCCCUGAGAGAGUCUAAUAAGCUACAGGCAUUGAAAUGUGAUCUCCAUGGAGUCUUCACUUACUCUCCAGUUCAGAUACCCGUCUCUUAAAACAAAAAAGCAGACAUAUAGCCCUAUUCUGUAGCAACCUAAGUGUGAAAAUGUGACACAAGAUGAAAAACUUGAGACACUUCGGUACACUGUCCAUUUUGUCUUGUGUUUCAGUAUAGACAGUUUUCUGUGGAAACAAAAGAAAUAUGUAUAUAAAAAAACCUAGACCACUGCCCACAAGCACUAACAAAGGCUACACAGAUUAACCUUUUGUUUUUAAACUAAGAUGCUCAAUGUAUCAUAGUCCUGUAAAGUUUAAGCUCAGUGUAUCAUAGUUCUGUGAAGUUUAAGAUGCUCUGUGAUAUACAGCCAUAAGAUUAUCAGGCUAAAACUGUACUCCACACCUUUAAUUAUUCCUGUAGAGUCUUAUGAAUGGAGAGUGAUUUGAUUUCUAUGAAACUUAGAGAAAGCUUGUAGAAACUAGGGAAUGAAAUACAAUGCAGAUAUAAUCAAGCAUUAUUAUAGCUUGUAAUUAAAAAGACCAACAUCAUAAAUAAGCCAUUUCUCCAUGGAUAUUCUGCAAAGUACACGUUCUUGGUUUGUUGUUAUUAUCAUUUUUAAUUUGUUAAAUAUUGACAGUGACUUUACUCAUUCUUGCUCUUUAAAUUUUUGGGAACCAUAAAGAAAUUAGAGCAAAAAUUAACAAAUAAGAAAGGCUCUUCCUUUAGUAUUCAAAUUUACUGAAUAUGUUUUUCCUACUAGUGUUUUUCUUUUUUUUCCUUUUGA